GACGAACCGUGCGAACGUUGUUCGGAAUCACUGGGCUUAAAGGGCGCGUAGGCGGGCUGUCAAGUCUGGGGUGAAAUGCCGCGGCUCAACCGUGGAGCUGCCUCAGAUACUGACGGCCUCGAGGAAGGUAGGGGCAUGCGGAACUGUAGGUGGAGCGGUGAAAUGCGUUGAUAUCUACAGGAACUCCGGUGGCGAAAGCGGCGUGCUGGACCUUUUCUGACGCUGAGGCGCGAAAGCUAGGGGAGCAAACGGG
Molecule: ribosomal RNA, 253 nt
Filed under: uncultured bacterium
Lineage: Bacteria
Description: partial 16S ribosomal RNA
Rfam family: Bacterial small subunit ribosomal RNA
Source: RNAcentral